Molecule: ribosomal RNA, 461 nt
Filed under: uncultured bacterium
Lineage: Bacteria
Description: partial 16S ribosomal RNA
Rfam family: Bacterial small subunit ribosomal RNA
Source: RNAcentral
CUACGGGGGGCAGCAGUCGAGAAUCUUCCGCAAUGGACGAAAGUCUGACGGAGCGACGCCGCGUGCGGGAUGAAGGCCUUCGGGUUGUAAACCGCUGUCAGUGGGGAGGAAAUGCAUCAGGGUUCUCCCUGGUGUUUGACCGAUCCGCAGAGGAAGCGCAGGCUAAGUUCGUGCCAGCAGCCGCGGUAACACGAACUGCGCGAACGUUAUUCGGAAUCACUGGGCUUAAAGAGUUCGUAGGCGGCCUUUCAAGUCGGGUGUGAAAUCCCUCGGCUCAACCGGGGAAUUGCGCCUGAUACUGUUGGGCUUGAGGGGGAUAGGGGUGAGCGGAACUGAUGGUGGAGCGGUGAAAUGCGUUGAUAUCAUCAGGAACGCCGGUGGCGAAGGCGGCUCACUGGAUCUCUUCUGACGCUGAGGAACGAAAGCUAGGGGAGCGAACGGGAUUAGAUACCCUCGUAGUC